Long non-coding RNA from Oncorhynchus keta (chum salmon), 3172 nucleotides. RefSeq lists it as uncharacterized. The record is from RefSeq and is a predicted model, not a curated record. The transcript is spliced from 6 exons. Lineage: Eukaryota; Metazoa; Chordata; Actinopteri; Salmoniformes; Salmonidae.
ACACACACACACACACACACACACACACACACACACACACACACACACACACACACACACACACACACACACACACACAUUUCUCUUUCCCCAGGUAAGUGAUACUCUUUUCAGUACACACACAUUUAUCUUUCCCCAGGUAAAUGAUACCCUUCUCAGUACACACACACACACACACACACACACACACACACACAUUUCUCUUUCCCCAGGUAAAUGAUACCCUUCUCAGUACACACACACACUCUCUCACACACACACACACAUUUCUCUUUCCCCAGGUAAGUGAUACUCUUUUCAGUACACACACACGUACGUUAGCAGUGUUGGUUUUAUGUAUUAUAUUGUGAUCAGAUGUCUGCCUAAUGCAAACCAAAUGGUGGUGAGCAGCUCAAAAGGUUAAACGAUACACCAAUAUAUCAGUUUUAUUGAUCUUCCACAGGCAAAAUCCGACAUCACGCUUUAAUCCUCGCCGUUGUAGGACAUAAAUCAGAGUUUCUGACGUUUAGGGUGUUUGACAGUUAACUUAAUGAAAUCUAUACAUGGUGAGAUCAUGACCUGGUGUGGCCACAGUGUCAGCAUGGUGGAACGUAGUUGGAAAGUCGUCAGGGUGCCUGUCUGGGCCUUUAAAAGCCGUUAAAAUACUUCACUGAAAUGAACUUAAAGGGGUUGUCCAUCAUACCAGGAGCCUUUUUACUUUACAGGGGAGGUCAGUGGAGGUACAGGAUUUUCUGCCUUUACUGUGUUUAGGGUUACUACCCACCAAGCUGAAGGCAGUUAGUAUAUCAGAGGAGUCUGCACUAAUGAAAGAUUUACACACGUUGUGUUUUUACUCCAGAAAGUUCAGGAGUCAGUCAUUUAUGUGUAUUGAGUUAAACUUAACCAAAGUCUAAUUCAAUUGCGCAGUGAAGUUGUUAAAUGUGCAGUCAAAAUACUCAAAUUUAUUCCAACGCUUGUUAAUUUGCACAAUGGCUAUAUAGUGGGAAAAGGGCUAGUGAACAUAGUCAGCUAUCUCCUAGGUGUGUUCCCUACAACAUCAAUGGUGAACAUAGUCAGCUAUCUCCUAGGUGUGUUCCCUACAACAUCAAUGGUGAACAUAGUCAGCUAUCUCCUAGGUGUGUUCCCUACAACAUCAAUGGUGAACAUAGUCAGCUAUCUCCUAGGUGUGUUCCCUACAACAUCAAUGGUGAACAUAGUCAGCUAUCUCCUAGGUGUGUUCUCUACAACAUCAAUGGUGAACAUAGUCAGCUAUCUCCUAGGUGUGUUCCCUACAACAUCAAUGGUGAACAUAGUCAGCUAUCUCCUAGGUGUGUUCCCUACAACAUCAAUGGUGAACAUAGUCAGCUAUCUCCUAGGUGUGUUCCCUACAACAUCAAUGGUGAACAUAGUCAGCUAUCUCCUAGGUGUGUUCCCUACAACAUCAAUGGUGAACAUAGUCAGCUAUCUCCUAGGUGUGUUCUCUACAACAUCAAUGGUGAACAUAGUCAGCUAUCUCCUAGGUGUGUUCCCUACAACAUCAAUGGUGAACAUAGUCAGCUAUCUCCUAGGUAUGUUCUCCACAACAUCAAUGGUGAACAUAGUCAAUAUCUCCUAGGUGUGUUCCCUACAACAUCAAUGGUGAACAUAGUCAGCUAUCUCCUAGGUAUGUUCUCCACAACAUCAAUGGUGAACAUAGUCAGCUAUCUCCUAGGUAUGUUCUCCACAACAUCAAUGGUGAACAUAGUCAAUAUCUCCUAGGUAUGUUCUCCACAACAUCAAUGGUGAACAUAGUCAGCUAUCUCCUAGGUAUGUUCUCUCCAACAUCACUCCUCAGAACGUGCUGUUCCAAUCCUCAAGGCUCAGCAAAGUAACAGCAUAUUCUAUAGGUGGCUCCCAUGUAAAACAAUUCGGUAUUUAACAACCAUGUCCAUUCUAGCUUUUCCAUUUCUAUGACUUCCUUCUUGAAGUGCUGUCUGUCUCCUGCUGUAGUUGAACUUGACCCCGUCCUCUCCUCUGUUUGAGAAGACCCAGGGCACCGUGCGAGACGUGGCGUUGAGACGCCCUCUGUCUGAUAGUGACCUCCUAAUGAACUGCAGUGUGGGACUGACUGUGGUACAGUGCUUUAGCAGCUUUACUAUGAACUCUGACCUCUCACCCCACAUCAAAGGGAGCAGGGGUCAGCUGGGACCCCCUGUUAAACACCAAUAUUAUCAGUGCAGCAACCUGGCUCCUGUAAAGCACCACAAAGUGGCAGAUAGACUUUAACAUCCCUCAGAGAGAGAGAGAGGGAGAGAAAGAUAGAGGGAGGGAGGCAGGGAUAGAGAGAGGGAGGGAGGGAGGUUUGACUCUUUCUUCUCUGUCUACUCUGCAGUGCAUGUCCGUUGGCUGUAUUUACUUAACAAGUUUCAUCACUGACUGAUGUAGUGGUCAACAUUGUGGUAUAUCCAACACUGGGCAGGACAGGUGUUGAUUGGUUGGAGCUAUAACCCAGAGCAGAACUCUUGUUUGGGGUCUUGUCUCUGAUGGCUCAGCCCAACGCAAGUGAAUGAUGGGCUGUUCUUUUUGGCACAUCUCUUUCUCUUCUCUCUCUCCUCCUCAUCUCCUAAAGGACGGUGUCAGAGCCCAGUCUCUUGUCUGGAGGCAUCUGGAGUGGGUUAGGCUCUUCUGGGGGAGUACAGUGUAUUAAAGGAAGAGGGAGACUGUUAGUGACAAGUGUUGGAGAGAGAGAGUGGAGAUGCUAUCGCUAGAGUCCUGUCUGUUUGCUGAGAGGGGUGGGGGUGAGUUGGGAGUGUGUCUGGUCUGGGUCUAGAAUAAAUGGCAGCUACUAUGCUCUAGUUCCAGUGAUGUCAGAGUCCACCACAUAGCCACUCUUAAAUAAGGACCAAUUCUCACAACCACCCCACACCCAGUGGCUAAAACCACUGACAGUUAUGAUGAGAGCUCGUCAGAAUCACUCUGCAUUGUUUUAUAGCCGGAGCACAUACUCUGACAACAUGUUGCCAUUCAUUUCUGAAUUUUCAUUUCUAUGUGGUGAAACGCAUGACCAUAAAGUGGGUCUUCCACUUUGAAUAUUCCAAGCAUCACAUUCUGAGACAUUAUGACUUAUAGGAAAAUGUUUGUGGAGUUUACCGCCCUCUAGUGGCUGUAAAAUGUACAUGCCCACACCUGAUUUCCAUUGGCUAACGUGUGUUUU